This 404-nucleotide ribosomal RNA is filed under the name Fusobacteriota bacterium. RNAcentral describes it as "Fusobacteria bacterium partial 16S ribosomal RNA". It matches the Rfam family "Bacterial small subunit ribosomal RNA", at positions 355 to 776 of the family's 1533-position model. The record is from RNAcentral. Lineage: Bacteria; Fusobacteriati; Fusobacteriota.
UGGGGAAUAUUGCACAAUGGAGGGAACUCUGAUGCAGCGACGCCGCGUGAGUGAUGAAGGAAUUCGUUUCGUAAAACUCUGUUCUAUGGGAAGAAAAGGACUGUACCAUAGGAGAAAGCUCCGGCUAAAUACGUGCCAGCAGCCGCGGUAAUACGUAUGGAGCGAGCGUUGUCCGGAAUUAUUGGGCGUAAAGGGUGCGCAGGCGGCUUUACAAGUUGGAUGUGAAAUAUUGUGGCUCAACCACAAACGUGCAUCCAAAACUGCAAAGCUUGAGUUAAGGAGAGGUAAGUGGAAUUCCAGGUGUAGCGGUGGAAUGCGCAGAUAUCUGGAGGAACACCGAUGGCGAAGGCAGGUCACUGGGCCAUUACUGACGCUGAGGAGCGAAAGCAUGGGUAGCGAACAGG